AUUGUCCGCCUUGGUAUUCUGCAUCUUGGGUACAUGGAUGAGCUCUGAGUGGUUGAAACUGCUUUUGAGGAUUUUGAUAUCUUCUAGAUAGCUUGCAAAUGCUGGCUUUUCACAUGGUUCUAAAACCAUCUUUACCAAUUGAGAAUAAUACGUUGCAAAAGUUACAUAAAACAGACAAAAAUUCCUCAUACAUUACAUUUCCCAAAUGAGCGCCUCUAGUUUCAAGUGAAGCGGAGAAAAACUGGGCCUGGUGUUUCUUGCUCCCAUCAGUCCAUCAAAUCCUUCAAGCGUACUAUGCUAACCUUGUCUGAGUAAGUUUUCUUCUCUUUCCAUGAUCCAUCCGUAAAACACCAUCUUUUCGGAAUAGUAGGUAAUGUUGAUAUUAGUACCUACCUGGAUUGAGUAAUACUGUGAGUAAAUGUUAAUUGUGCCACGAUCCACAUCACGCAUUCUGUCUUUGUCAAUGUAAGACUAUCUUUGGGGUCUAUGUUCAAAUUGCUGAAGACUUUGUUGUUUCGAGCUUUCCAAAUAUACCAUAAAAGCCAUAUUAAUUGAUGAUCUUCCAGAUGCGGAAUCACUCUCCAAAACAAAGUGACCCAUAUUUGCAAAAAGCGAUUCAGUAGG
This 624-nucleotide long non-coding RNA is filed under the name Brassica napus (rape). RNAcentral describes it as "long non-coding RNA (BNAP_LNC002375)". Lineage: Eukaryota; Viridiplantae; Streptophyta; Magnoliopsida; Brassicales; Brassicaceae. The record is from RNAcentral.